RNAcentral lists this ribosomal RNA (816 nucleotides) under Lactiplantibacillus plantarum. RNAcentral describes it as "bacterial SSU rRNA". It matches the Rfam family "Bacterial small subunit ribosomal RNA", at positions 40 to 824 of the family's 1533-position model. The record is from RNAcentral. Lineage: Bacteria; Bacillati; Bacillota; Bacilli; Lactobacillales; Lactobacillaceae.
CGGCGUCCUAUACAUGCAGUCGAACGAACUCUGGUAUUGAUUGGUGCUUGCAUCAUGAUUUACAUUUGAGUGAGUGGCGAACUGGUGAGUAACACGUGGGAAACCUGCCCAGAAGCGGGGGAUAACACCUGGAAACAGAUGCUAAUACCGCAUAACAACUUGGACCGCAUGGUCCGAGCUUGAAAGAUGGCUUCGGCUAUCACUUUUGGAUGGUCCCGCGGCGUAUUAGCUAGAUGGUGGGGUAACGGCUCACCAUGGCAAUGAUACGUAGCCGACCUGAGAGGGUAAUCGGCCACAUUGGGACUGAGACACGGCCCAAACUCCUACGGGAGGCAGCAGUAGGGAAUCUUCCACAAUGGACGAAAGUCUGAUGGAGCAACGCCGCGUGAGUGAAGAAGGGUUUCGGCUCGUAAAACUCUGUUGUUAAAGAAGAACAUAUCUGAGAGUAACUGUUCAGGUAUUGACGGUAUUUAACCAGAAAGCCACGGCUAACUACGUGCCAGCAGCCGCGGUAAUACGUAGGUGGCAAGCGUUGUCCGGAUUUAUUGGGCGUAAAGCGAGCGCAGGCGGUUUUUUAAGUCUGAUGUGAAAGCCUUCGGCUCAACCGAAGAAGUGCAUCGGAAACUGGGAAACUUGAGUGCAGAAGAGGACAGUGGAACUCCAUGUGUAGCGGUGAAAUGCGUAGAUAUAUGGAAGAACACCAGUGGCGAAAGCGGCUGACUGGUCGGUAACUGACGCUGACGCACGAACGUAUGUGUAGCAGACAGGAUUACAUAAACUGCAAGGCUUUACCGUCAACGAUGAAAGCUCAGUGUU